CACGUAGGGUGCGAGCGUUGUCCGGAAUUAUUGGGCGUAAAGAGCUCGUAGGCGGUGUGUCGCGUCGGCCGUGAAAACCUGCAGCUUAACUGUGGGCUUGCGGUCGAUACGGGCAUCACUGGAGUUCGGCAGGGGAGACUGGAAUUCCUGGUGUAGCGGUGAAAUGCGUAGAUAUCGGGAGGAACACCAGUGGCGAAGGCGACUACCUGGCCCAUUCUUGACGCUGAGGCGCGAAAGCUAGGGGAGCGAACGGG
RNAcentral lists this ribosomal RNA (254 nucleotides) under uncultured bacterium. RNAcentral's name for it is "partial 16S ribosomal RNA". It matches the Rfam family "Bacterial small subunit ribosomal RNA", at positions 524 to 776 of the family's 1533-position model. The record is from RNAcentral.